RNAcentral lists this ribosomal RNA (474 nucleotides) under uncultured Desulfocapsa sp. Its description in RNAcentral is "bacterial SSU rRNA". It matches the Rfam family "Bacterial small subunit ribosomal RNA", at positions 907 to 1382 of the family's 1533-position model. Lineage: Bacteria; Pseudomonadati; Thermodesulfobacteriota; Desulfobulbia; Desulfobulbales; Desulfocapsaceae. The record is from RNAcentral.
UAGAAUUGACGGGGCCCGCACAAGCGGUGGAGCAUGUGGUUAAUUCGAUGCAACGCGAAGAACCUUACCUGGGCUUGACAUCCCGGGAAUCCCUUGGAAACAAGGGAGUGCCCUUCGGGGAACCUGGAGACAGGUGCUGCAUGGCUGUCGUCAGCUCGUGUCGUGAGAUGUAGGGUUAAGUCCCGCAACGAGCGCAACCCUUGUCUUUAAUUGCCAGCAUUCAGUUGGGCACUCUAAAGGGACUGCCGGUGUCAAACCGGAGGAAGGUGGGAUGACGUCAAGUCCUCAUGGCCUUUAUGUCUAGGGCUACACACGUACUACAAUGGCAGGUACAAAGGGCAGCGACACAGCGAUGUGAUGCGAAUCCCGAAAAGCCUGUCUCAGUCCGGAUCGGAGUCUGCAACUCGACUCCGUGAAGUUGGAAUCGCUAGUAAUCGUGGAUCAGCAUGCCACGGUCGAAUACGUUCCGGCCUU